UCCGUGCCCAGCAGCCGCGGUAAUACGGAGGGUGCUAGUGUUAAUCGGAAUUACUGGGCGUAAAGCGCACGCAGGCGGUCUGUCAAGUCAGAUGUGAAAUCCCCCGGGCUUAACCUGGGAACUGCAUUUGAAACUGGCAGGCUAGAGUCUGUAGAGGGGGGUAGAACUCCAGGUGUAGCGGUGAAAUGCGUAGAGAUCUGGAGGAAUACCGGUGGCGAAGGCGGCCCCCUGGACAAAGACUGACGCUCAGGUGCGAAAGCGUGGGGAGCAAACAGGAUUACCACCCUGGUAGUCCACGCCGUAAACGAUGUCGACUUGGAGGUUGUGCCCUUGAGGCGUGGCUUCCGGAGCUAACGCGUUAAGUCGACCGCCUGGGGAGUACGGCCGCAAGGUUAAAACUCAAAUGAAUUGACGGGGGCCCGCACAAGCGGUGGAGCAUGUGGUUUAAUUCGAUGCAACGCGAAGAACCUUACCUGGCCUUGACAUCCACGGAAUUCGGCAGAGAUGCCUUAGUGCCUUCGGGAACCGUGAGACAGGUGCUGCAUGGCUGUCGUCAGCUCGUGUUGUGAAAUGUUGGGUUAAGUCCCGCAACGAGCGCAACCCUUAUCCUUUGUUGCCAGCGAGUAAUGUCGGGAACUCAAAGGAGACUGCCGGUGACAAACCGGAGGAAGGUGGGGAUGACGUCAAGUCAUCAUGGCCCUUACGGCCAGGGCUACACACGUGCUACAAUGGCGCAUACAAAGAGAAGCGAACUCCAGCGAGUAGCUAAGCGGACCUGGGCACAAAGUGCGUCGUAGUCCGGAUCGGAGGUCUGCAACUCGACUCCGUAGAAGUUAUGCGGWAUCAGCUACCGUUAUCAGUAGUUAUCASMAUSCUACRGGCAAUACGUUCCCRGRCCUUGUACACACCGCCCGYCACWCGUCACCGGAGAGGGUUGCAAAAGAAG
RNAcentral lists this ribosomal RNA (946 nucleotides) under Erwinia billingiae. RNAcentral describes it as "bacterial SSU rRNA". It matches the Rfam family "Bacterial small subunit ribosomal RNA", at positions 502 to 1426 of the family's 1533-position model. The record is from RNAcentral. Lineage: Bacteria; Pseudomonadati; Pseudomonadota; Gammaproteobacteria; Enterobacterales; Erwiniaceae.